ACUCAAAGGAAUUGACGGGGGCCCGCACAAGCGGUGGAUGAUGUGGAUUAAUUCGAUGCAACGCGAAAAACCUUACCUACGCUUGACAUGUCCGAGAUCCCGAAGAGAUUUGGGAGUGCUCGAAAGAGAAUCGGAACACAGGUGCUGCAUGGCUGUCGUCAGCUCGUGUCGUGAGAUGUUGGGUUAAGUCCCGCAACGAGCGCAACCCUUGUCAUUAGUUGCUACAUUAAGUUGGGCACUCUAAUGAGACUGCCGGUGACAAACCGGAGGAAGGUGGGGAUGACGUCAAGUCCUCAUGGCCCUUAUGCGUAGGGCUUCACACGUCAUACAAUGGUCGGUACAGAGGGUCGCCAACCCGCGAGGGGGAGCCAAUCUCAGAAAGCCGAUCGUAGUCCGGAUCGCAGUCUGCAACUCGACUGCGUGAAGUCGGAAUCGCUAGUAAUCGCGGAUCAGCAUGUCGCGGUGAAUACGUUCCCGGGCCUUGCACACACCGCCCGU
This 498-nucleotide ribosomal RNA is filed under the name uncultured bacterium. RNAcentral describes it as "bacterial SSU rRNA". It matches the Rfam family "Bacterial small subunit ribosomal RNA", at positions 899 to 1397 of the family's 1533-position model. The record is from RNAcentral.